CGCCUCGAGAAGCGUUCCGCGACCAGACGAGACGACCGCGCGAAGACGCACUGCACUGCACUGUUCGCUAUCCGGUAUCACGUGCAAUACGAGUAACUGCGGUAUGCUAUACGCGCGUCUCGACAGUAAAUCGCUUUCGGUUUGUAGAAUCGUUUUUUUUUCUACGGCGGAUGUAAUAAUUAUUAUUACGAUCGGACCGAACGAAACGCGUAAAAUUGCUCGUGUAUUGUUGUUAUUAUUAUUAUUACGAUUCGAAAACGUAUAGACGCGCGGCACGCGGUAUACGGUACGCGGCGACAGGAUGCGCGCGCGAGCGAACGGUUCGACGUC
Cinara cedri is the source of this 330-nucleotide non-coding RNA. The record is from the annotation of a GenBank genome assembly. NCBI's taxonomy places the organism in Eukaryota, Metazoa, Arthropoda, Insecta, Hemiptera, Aphididae.